UACGAAGGGGGCUAGCGUUGUUCGGAAUUACUGGGCGUAAAGCGUGUGUAGGCGGUCCACUAAGUCGGGUGUGAAAGCCCUGGGCUCAACCCAGGAAGUGCACUCGAAACUGGCGGGCUAGAGUAUCGGAGAGGUUGGUGGAAUUCUCGGUGUAGAGGUGAAAUUCGUAGAUAUCGAGAGGAACACCGGUGGCGAAGGCGGCCAACUGGACGAAUACUGACGCUGAGACACGAAAGCGUGGGGAGCAAACAGG
This 253-nucleotide ribosomal RNA is filed under the name uncultured bacterium. RNAcentral describes it as "partial 16S ribosomal RNA". It matches the Rfam family "Bacterial small subunit ribosomal RNA", at positions 524 to 776 of the family's 1533-position model. The record is from RNAcentral.